GACUAAAAAAAUCAGAAAGAAGAGUGGGGAACAGCAGCCUUCCAAAGACCCACCGACUCAGCAGAAAACGAACAAGGCAUCCAGACCAGCAGCAGCGACCCCGAAACGAUCAUCAGCGGCGAUCAGGGGAUCCAGACGAGGAGUGGCAACCCGGAAGUGCCUGCCGGCAGCGUUUUGGGAAUUCCCCCAAACAGCCUAGACGUGAGGACCACAAGAAGAGACCGACACCGAUAGUACAUGCAGAAAUGUACGAUCCUGUGUGUGGAAUUCGAAGUGAACUCUGUGUCAAACCUCUACAACAAGUUGAAGACAAGCAGAACAAUUGUUUUAUUGGAUCUAACUUGCAAAAGAUCUCUUUACAGCUUCAAGAAUCAAUGGAAUUUACAAUGGCUUGUAAUGUGAAUAACAUAACUUCUGUUUUUACUGAAGAAUGAGUCUCGACUCCUUUGAGACCAAAACCAAUGAUUUUAACUAAUAGCAGUUGUAAAAGUUGAUCAAUGUUAUGUGGAUUAUGAAGCAUUUUAUUUGGUCACAAAUAGGACUUGUAACACACAUAAGUCGGAUUCAAACUUUGUUUAUUGGGAAUGAACUAUUUUCUUUAUGAAGUAAUACAAGAGGCCCCUCAGAGGCUGGAAUUGGAUUCCACCUCUGAUAUUUGAAUAUCCACAUUCAUUAGAACACGCAAGCACCCGAACUCACAAAAUGAUUGGUUCAAGUCUUCCCUCCCCUUAAGUUUAAAACUUACUGCACUGGCCAAGCAGCUCUUUUUUCAGUUUUUAUUAUUUUUUUUCUAUAGUUUUUCCAUCUUCCUGAGUUUGUUGCUUCAAAUGAACAAGAAAUAACUAAGUUGUUCAAUUCCUAAGAAUAAGCAAGUUUCCGCACACCUGUUCUUGUUUUAAACAAAUUCUUUUUCCUUUUUUUUACAUUUGUUGCCUCCAGAUAAUUUUAAAAACCGCAUCUGACAUUUUUAUAUUUUUAAUGCUUUUAUUUUGAAACAGAUUUUUCACGCAUGCUAGAUCUAUAAGUUCCGUCGCCCAGCCAGCUCCAUAACUUAUAAUUUUGGUCAUAAACUCCAAAGAAAGAGAUCACUCUAUCACUCUAAUUCAAGUGACCUGAACUGAGCAAAACCAGGAGAUUUUCUUCUGGAAGAACCUUUAAUCUCUCGUACAUCUGGUUGAAGAUCAUGGAGGUGCAAAGCUUCAUUCCAGAAUCCUCCUCUGGUAAUGGGACAUUCGAACCCUUCUCAACGGAAUGAACCAAAACCAGGUUGGAGGAGCACAACCUCCGACUCGUUCAGUCACUGUGAAGAUGAACGUUAUCUUGUCGAACGUCAAGUCUUAGCCCAAAUUUCCCCCUUUUAGGAGCCCUCCUCCGCUCAUCACAUAAACACCUUUCCAUACAAAACACACUUAAUUCCUCCACACACACUUAGCACACCUCUCAUUUCCAUGUUUUAUUUUGUAUUUUGUUUUUAUCAUAUUUCCAGUAUAUUAAUUGAAAGCUUGUGUCUUAUGUUUUACAUAUGCUGAUUGCUUUUGAAAAUAUGUUCUUACGUCCAGAAUUUCCUGUUUGUUUUAACCUCAUUUUAUUCAAUAAAUAUUCAAAGGAUUCUGUUUAGAUUUCAUUAUUUAUUCUAAUAGAAAGU
Long non-coding RNA from Oryzias melastigma (Indian medaka), 1645 nucleotides. RefSeq lists it as uncharacterized. The transcript is spliced from 3 exons. NCBI's taxonomy places the organism in Eukaryota, Metazoa, Chordata, Actinopteri, Beloniformes, Adrianichthyidae. The record is from RefSeq and is a predicted model, not a curated record.